Molecule: RNA transcript, 1936 nt
Organism: Cannabis sativa
Lineage: Eukaryota; Viridiplantae; Streptophyta; Magnoliopsida; Rosales; Cannabaceae
Gene name: transcription factor E2FC
Exons: 14
Source: RefSeq, a predicted model, not a curated record
GUAGUGUGACCCCUUUCUUUCUUCACUCGCCGCUUCGUACAUUACUAAAAUAAAUAAAAAAACAGAAGCAAAGGCAAAACCUUUUUCUCUUAAGUAACACGAACAAAACCUUUUCCCUCCAACACUCAAAAAUAAAAAUUAACCCUUUUCUCUCUCUUACCGCCAUUGAUGUCCAACUCCGCUCAGGAUCCGACCUCUUCUCAUGGCCUUCAUCAUCACCUCCAGUUUCAGCUUCCACAUCCUCACUCACACUACUCCUCUGCUUUCUCUUCACCUACUAAUCCGCAAUUUUUCCAUUCUUUUCCUCACACCCAGAGGCCUCCUCGCGAUCAUCGUCCUCUUCAUCCUUCUUCACAAAGCUUCGACCGCCUUGGCGUUUCCGAUAUCUCUAACGAAUCUCAUCCAGGAGCUGACUCUGCUUUUACAAAGCUUGAGUUAACACAAUCAAAUGUUAAAGUUGAGACUGGCAUGAGUGGGGAAAUAGCUGUAUCUGGACUGAGCAAAGUAGUUAAUGGUCAAAAGCACUCUGGACAAAGAAAGCAUAAUUCUAAAUCAAAAGUUCCCAGACAAUCCAUUGGAUCCCAAACGUUGAAAGCUGAGUCUCUUAAUGGUUUCAUUCCGCCGAACAGUUGCCGCUUUGAUAGUUCUUUAGGCUUGUUAACUAGGAAAUUUGUCAACUUGAUUCAUGAAGCUGAGGAUCGAACUCUUGAUUUGAACCAUACCGCAGACAUAUUAGAAGUUCAAAAGAGGAGGAUAUAUGAUAUUACAAAUGUUCUUGAAGGAAUAGGAUUGAUAGAGAAAACUUCAAAGAACCAUAUACGCUGGAAAGGAAAUGAUUUGAUGGGGAAACGAGAGUUGGAUGAUUGGAUUGCUGCAGUAAAGGCUGAAGUUGAAAGCUUAUACGCUGAAGAAUGCAGACUUGAUGAGGAAAUAAGGAGUAAACAAAAUCGGCUUUGGGCCCUAGAAAGAGAUGAAAACUGUCAAAAGUACCUAUUUUUUACAGAGGAAGACAUUUUGACUCUUCCAUGCUUUGAGAAUCAAACACUCAUUGCAAUAAAUGCUCCAAAAGCUAGUUAUAUUGAAGUUCCUGAUCCUGAUGAGGAUUUGAGUUUUCCACAAAGACAAUAUAAAAUGAUUGUUAGAAGCACCAUGGGACCAAUCGAUGUAUAUCUUUUAAGCAAAUACCAAAAUGAAAAUGAGGACACAACCACCAACCGAGCAACCUCUGAGGGUUUAUCUGCAUGGGAUGUUGGUUGUUGUGGAAGGGAAGAUGAAGUGAUCUACUCAGAUCAUCCGGGUGAUCAAAAAAGUUGUGUAGAUAAUCUCAGCUCACUAGGUCCAAAAUCAUCUGGAAUUCAGAAGAUUAUUCCUUCUGAUGUUGAUGUAAAUGAUGAUUAUUGGUUUCGAUCAGAUCCUGAUGUAACCAUUACAAGUCUUUGGGCAAAUGAGGAGUGGACGACGCAAGCAGAUGGACUCUUUCAAGAAAAUACUGUUGAAACUAGUACAAAACUAGCUCGGUGACAAGCUGACUGAGUCCCUCUUAUAACAGAAAAGUAAAUUAGUUGAAAAAUUUCCAGGGUUGGGAGGUAACUUCACGGAUCUGAUUUGGUAACAGUGAGAUCCUGCUAUCUGGAUCUGUACUUUAAUCUGGACCACAGCAGACUGCUAAAGAUCCUUUUUUUUUUCAAAAAAAAAAAAUUUAAUAAUUUAAUCUUCACCUAAGCUGUUCUCUUUUAAAACUUUCAAAGUUAAUUUUAGUAUCAAUUCAAUAAAUUUAUUUUAUUACAAACAUUCAGAUUAACGAAACUACUCUAAAAACAAGUUUUAGAGCACGAAAACAACUCCAAAACUUACCGAGCGUUAUUGUAUUAUCCUCUUUGUUUGGUAUGAUGAAACAGAAGAAUGGAUUAAAUGGUAUGGAAUGAAGUUAUCUUUA